Molecule: long non-coding RNA, 5061 nt
Organism: Triticum aestivum (bread wheat)
Lineage: Eukaryota; Viridiplantae; Streptophyta; Magnoliopsida; Poales; Poaceae
Exons: 4
Source: RefSeq, a predicted model, not a curated record
AAGCCAAAGAGGCACAGAAACCAAACAAAACCUGGAAACAAGACACCGGAAGAUGCCAUUGUUAUUGUUUGCAGGAGUAUGUGGAUGAAAGCUCUGAUUUGUAAGAGGAUGUUUAAGUACUCAACUAUGGAGAGGGAUAAUAGCUAAGCCCUCUGGACAGCAACUUUGCGGUCAAGGAUUGAUACGGUGGGAACUGGGAUGAUGCAUGACCGCAUGCUUUUUUGGACCAGAUUUGGGUUUGUAACUUACAGGGACAGCCCGGCAGGUCGAUGCCUCCAAUCUGCUCACAUUGCAAUUGUCCCAGCCACCCUCCAACAGCAGCUUGAGGUACAGUGUGGACGCACGCUUUCUCUUGAUGAAUAAUGAACAUGUAGCUCUUGAAGUCGUCGCGCACGCCGCCCGGGAAGGUACCUCGGCGAGAUUUGACAUUCCUGAUAUCGGAAUGCAUGAAUAGUACCCAUACAGAUACAGGCAACUUAGACUGAACGGCAUGAUAGCUGGCUGAAGUAUGAACGCACGUCUUCCCCCUUUUUUUGUCAUUUACUUUCCUACCUUUGAUGGUCAUGCAUUAGUUAAUGGAGGAAUCAUUGGGAGAGGUAGCCCUCUAGGCGCCUCGUUGACUUGCAACAUUUCUGAUUUCCAAAUGCAUAAAAAACCCUGCCAGCGGCUGGUUCGGAGGCAGCCAUAUCACAGAUCGACUUCAUUUCGACGCAACCACUAGAGACUCCGUCUCGGUCUCCAUUCCUUUGCCUAGCUAAUGGGGAUGGGGAUGGCACUUGCUCCACGCUCGUCUCUGUCUCUGCGCUCCCUGCUGCUGCUCAUGCCGCACAGGAAGCCACAUCGGAGCUCUUUCUUCUCCUCCUCCGCCGCGGUUCCGCCUGCGGCUCCAGGAACUGCCAUUCCGGCUUCUGAUCCUGCCGUUCAGCCUCCAGCCGCUCCAGAUCCUGAUCUUGCAGUUCCUGAAGGUCCGCGCGGAUCUAGCCGCGAUGGUCCGCCACGCCAACCUCCUGGAACUAUGGAUAUAGACGCUGAAGACCCCGGCAAGAAGACUCUCUAACAGCUAAUAAUACAAAGUCAGUGGGAGCCUUUCCCACUGUCCUCAAGGUUAAAAAAAAGGACCGGCAAGUCAUCAGAGUUCGCCUACGGCACUUCAACGUGUACUCCUUGAUCAGCCACCCACCGUACGAACUGCAAAUGCUUGCUGCGGUUACUGCCGUGUUACCUCUAUGGACAUGUAAUCUCAGUGUUGUCGUAUUAUUGAUCUUUGUACCGUUCCAAUCUACUUCAACAAAUAAAGGUGUGCGUUAGAUUUUCGUUUUGAGAGGUAUGAUGUACAACUUGCGUAAAGAAAUAUAAGAGCGUUUAGAUCUUUAUAAGAAACACUCUUAAAUUUCUUUACAGAGGGUGUACGUACGUUAUUAAUCUUUGCCCAAUUGCUCUUAAGCAGUACACAUGUGUGCAGUUCUUUUCGGAGGAAAAAGAACAUAGACUGCAUGCAGUCAACAUACGUUUCGAUGGGAAAUGGGGCGUUGACAUCCAUCGUCCAUGAGCGCGUGCUCUGCUCUGGGAUUGAUACGACUUGAAUGAAUUUGUUGGAGUCAGUCGUCGGUCUGAUCCACUUGUAGUACGUAGCAGGUUGUUCCGAGACUGGCUAUACAUCUAUCUAGACAUGCGUAUUGACAUACUACUUAUUUGGCACUCGAGGUUUCAGUCCGCCAGUGGACAAGCAACUAGCCUGAAAUUUCUUCCGUUUGUAACAUUCACGCAACUGAGUUGAAGUAGUUGCUUUCGCAGCAUGUUACUACCCUCUUGCUGUCUUCAAUCCUGAGUCCUGACCUUGAACCCGAUUUCGAGGAUGCUUCUAGAUGCAGGAUCGCUGGGCGCGGACCGUGAGAAAGACCGGUGGCCGACCAGGCGCUCGCGCCCUCUACCAACGGUGUGCUUGCCGGUAGGUCCAACGGCGAGCGGCGCCCCUGGAUGGGCAUGAACGCCCACCACCUGUUCGACCAAAGGUUUCAGAGCAGCCACCGCCCCUUUGUACAUCCAUCCAGGUCAGUGAAAAUGAGGUUAUGUUUUUUGUACAAUACAAACUUGGAAAUCCAUCAAAGCCACGUUGAGUUGAAUCCACCCCGUCAACACAGCCAUGCCAAACGACCUUAGGCUGUGAUUCAACCUGGUUAAGGAAUAUUAGGAGGUUAACCAGCCCAUAUAGCUAGGUUGGUUCAAGUUUGCAUACACAAUAAAAUAAAAAAAAAUUGGACGAAUGCAGGCAGCUGGCCUGCUUCAUUAUAUUAAGAUAGGUAGGGUUGCCGGUUCGGUGCGGCAAAGUAAAAGAAAAAUCACAAGAUACAGGGGAAGGGCAGGCUAGGAAAAGCAUAACAAGAGACUUUUCCUUUUGGACAAAAGAAGUACUUUUAGUCAGGAAACGUAAACUAGUCUUCUUCAAGGCAUCGUAUGCAUUUUCCUUUUCCUCAGCUCUGCAAUGCUGAGAAUGAUUCUUUGAUUGUGAUAACUUCGUUGUAUAUGUGCUGUAUAGUUGGCCGAUCUUUAGGUGUCUCCGCAGAGCACAACAACCCAAGCUCAAUGAGCUUUAUGAUGCAGUUCAUUGCAACCAUUGGAUGAGCUUCCCGGUCUAAAUCACCGCCUGCAUCCUCACCUUCAUUUCUAUAACCUGGAACUAUUCUAGGGUCUAGAAUCUCCUCAAUCUUUUGAGGAAAUGAUUUUUCAACAAAUUUGUAAAGGCUCAGGCCAUCUUUAAACAUCUCAUCAGUUGGACGCUUUCCUGUUAGCAUUUCUAAGAUGAUGACUCCAUAGCUAAAUACAUCGCCCUCAGUGGAGAUUUUGCUCCCAAAGCCAUAUUCUGCAGUAUGCAUAAGUCAUUCAAACAAUCAAUUGACACAACUUGCAUUCUUUUUAAUUAAAAACAAAGCAUCUUCUAUUUAGAAAAUAUUACCUGGGGCAAUGUAUCCAACUGAUCCUCUUGGCCCCACUAAGCUUGUAGAAGUAUGAAUGUCCGAAGAAUUGUAACUAUGCAGGAACUUAGCCAACCCGAAAUCGCCAACACGUGCGCCCAUGAAAUCAUCCAAAAGGACAUUGCUAGGCUUCAGAUCGCAGUGUGCCAUAGGAGGCACACAUUGGUUAUGGAGGUAAUCCAAAGCUGCAGCUAUGUCCACUGCUAUUACUAUUCUUGUACCGAAACUCAAUGGCCUUCUCUGACCAUCCUCAUGGACUGUUGGAUGGAGCCAACUUCCCAGGUCGCCGUUAACACUAUAUUCAAGAACAAUAGCUUUGAAAUCAUGUCCUGUUGGAUCAAUCGUUGAGCAUGCAGUAAUCACCCUUAUAAGAUUCCUGUGACGAGUAUUUCUCAAUGCUUCACACUCAACAAUGAAGCUUUUUGGUGCUCCGAGUUGAUUGAGUUUGAAAACUUUGAUGGCAACUUCAUGUUCUUCAGAUUCAAUUCUACCUCUGUACACAGACCCAUAUUUUCCUGAACCGACCAAGUUAUCUGGUGAGAAACCAUUUGUUGCUCUCACUAAAUUUGCAUAUGUGAACUUCUUCAACUCUUUGCAGGAUGGAUGAGCUUCUUGUUUGAGUUUCUUUUUCUUCUUCAAAAUAAUGGUUGCAAAGCAUGAUAACAGGACCAAGGAGAGAACUGUAAAUCCUACUAUCUUGAAAAUGCUGGAUACAUUCCUUUGUUUGGAUGCCUCUGCAUUGCAAAAUGGCAGCUGUAGCAAUGGAAUGCUGGUACAUAACUUCACGUUCCCUUGAAUGAAAACCUUGCUUCCAUUCUGAAAUAUCCCAUCUGAUGGUACUGGACCCUCGAGGUUAUUGAAGGACAAAUUGAGAAGCUUCAUAGACUUAAAGAACUUAAAGAAGUCAGGGAUUUCACCAGAUAAGUUGUUUUGAGAUAGAUCCAUCUCAAUGAUUCCUCCCAAACUUUUGAAGGAGUGAGGGAUUUUCCCAUGAAAGAGGUUACACUCCAUGUGGAGGGACUCCAAAUGGACGCACUGACCUAGAGUGGGGGGUAUUUGUCCAGACAAUUGAUUAUGGGAAAUAUUUAGUGGCCCAAGAUUUUUCAGAUUGCCAAUCUCCAGAGGUAUCUGUCCAGAGAGUUGGUUGUGAGACAAGUCCAGACACUGGGAAAGGGAGAUAAGAGUAAAGAGCUCCUUUGGUAUUCUUCCAUCAAAGCUGUUACAAGAGAGGUUCAGUUGUUCCAACUUUUUGCAGCCUGCUAAAGCUCCUGGGAUAGGACCACUCAAAUUAUUUUCCUGUAAAUAGAGCUCACUCAGUUGACUCAGAUUACCAACAGAAAGCGGAAUUGAUCCGGAAAGUUUGUUCUUGAACAAGCUUAAGACAAAUAAGUUUGGAAGAUUUCCAAGUGAUUCGGGAAUAUAUCCAGUAAGCAAAUUCUGGUCCAUGUAAAGAAGUUCGAGGCUUGUCAAGUACUGUAUCUCGUGUGGUAUAAUGCCAGAUAUUUUAUUUGAUCUCAAUAGCAGUAACCCUAAGCUUUUUGAAAGGCUUCCAAUGGACUUGGGCAAGACACCCUGAAGGUUAUUUUCAUCCAAACGCAACUUCAUCAGUUGUGUGCAAUUGCUCAAUGAGGAUAAGAAAGACCAAUCUCCUGCUUCAAGUUGAUUCCCACCUAGAUCUAGAUCGACUAGACCAGUAAGAGUUCCAAGAGAAGGAACAACACCAUGGAAUUGAUUCUCUCGGAGGUCGAUCAUCUGAAGAUUGGUUGUGUUGGCUAGUGAAGUGGGGAUUUGGCCUUGGAAUUGGUUUCCUUGCAUAAUCAAAGUCUGGAUAUUUGGAAGGGUAUACCCGAUGUUAUAUGGAAUUUCCCCUACAAGUAUGUUUGUACCCAUGCCAAGGUACGGAAUAUUGCCUAUACUCAUCGGGAUUCUACCUUGGAAAUUAUUAUCUGCUAGCGAGAGCCGGCGAAGGGAAGAAAAAUUCCCUAAAGAAGGAGGUAUGGUGCCAGAAAGAUUAUUUGAUUGCAAGAUAAGGUAUUGUAAGGGUGAAUCAAUGUUCGACGAAGCUGGUAUGGACCCGACAAAAUUGUUC